AGCUCUAAUAGCGUAUAUUAAUGUUGUUGCGGUUAAAAAGCUCGUGGUUGAAAGUGAAGGGUAAAACUGGAUCUGGGGAAACCCAUUUGCAGUUAUUAGCGCGUUUUAAGGUAUUCGGUUUACUUGGCUUAAUUGUCAAAUAAGCUUAACGGAUGCCUUGUAGCUACUCUGAUAAAAUCAGAGUGCUUAAAACAAGCAUAUUGCUUGUAUAUUUGUGCAUAGUAUAGCAAAUAUGACCUAAGAUAAUAAUGGUUGUGAUAAGCCGUGGUAAUGAUUAAAAGGGAUUGUCGGAGGCAUUUGUAUUUGAAAGUCAGAGGUGAAAUUCUUGGAUCGUUUAAAGACAAACUAGUGCGAAAGCAUUUGCCAAGUAUGUUUUCA
This 378-nucleotide ribosomal RNA is filed under the name marine copepod environmental sample. RNAcentral describes it as "SSU rRNA". It matches the Rfam family "Eukaryotic small subunit ribosomal RNA", at positions 587 to 972 of the family's 1831-position model. Lineage: Eukaryota; Metazoa; Arthropoda; Copepoda. The record is from RNAcentral.